RNAcentral lists this unclassified non-coding RNA (511 nucleotides) under Hevea brasiliensis (rubber tree). The record is from RNAcentral. Lineage: Eukaryota; Viridiplantae; Streptophyta; Magnoliopsida; Malpighiales; Euphorbiaceae.
CCUCUCAAGCUUAUACUUAAUUCUCUCUUCAGCAUUAGCAAAUUUCUUCUUCUUCCUCUUGACAGUCAGACUACGUGGGUCCCUCUUAUUAGCCUCUUUUCUCUUCUGCUUCUCUCUCAUUCUCUGCAUUUUUAGCCUCUUCUUCGUCUGCCAUUUCUCCUUCUUUGGAGGAUCAACCUCGUGCCUUUCAAACUUGGGUUUCCCUUCUGAUAUCACCAGGUUUACAGUACCAUGGCUCAAGUUUCUAAACGUCCAGGAUGGGUUUGGUAGAUUCAGUGGAAUUGUGUGCCUGGACGGAAAGAAAACUGAUUCUGGGGGAUGAAAUUUUGGCCUGAGAAAUAAGGAGGUGAUAGAUGAUGUUGGCUCAGGCUUAACAAGUGAAGAAACCCAUCUCAGGCUACGAAACAAAGCUUUCGCCAUCCCAAUAUGAUGAAUAGGGGCAGAUAGAUAAAAGAGGAGAAAAGCUAGCCAAUUUCAAAAAACAAGUGGGUUAUGCAGAAACUCAAACCUC